GUUGACCUCUCAAAUUAUCACAUUUGAACAUGAAGGAAAUUGGAGUAAAGCUCUUGAGUACUAUGAUUUACAAAUUAGAUCUGAUCCAGUAGCUCAAGGAUGCAGUUAUUCUCCUGAGAAUUUUCUUCAUUCAUCUGGUUCAGUAGUAGAUCAGAUGAUUGAAAAGAAACCAUAUAAGGGCCUUAUUAGAUCCUUGCAGCAAAUUGGUUGCACUCAUCUUUUGGAUGUGUACUGCCAAGGAUUGACCUCUCAAAAGGGAAGGUUUCAACAUGAUCCAGAGUUUACCGAGCUACAGGUUUGCCUCCUAUCUUCUCCUUUUCUGCUAACCGGUAAGGAAAGUAGACUCAAUUUUUGGAAUAGAGGAGCAUUACAGGUAAAUGACACGAAGGUGUAAAGCAAUAAUAUUGCCAAUAAUCUUUAAGUUGCAUUCAUCUUUUGGAUGUGUGCUGCCAAGAUUUUGCUUUUUCAUACUAACUAUUAAGUUCCCUUUUUUUGGACAAGGACUUAAUUUGUCUUUUAUAAAACUCUACUUAUAUAACAUGAAGAAGAAUGGAGAGAAACUAGGAAAUAGUGCCCCAUUGGUGUACAAUAGUUUGGUAGCAGCAACCAAUUUUACUGUCUUAAUAAUAUAAGAUUUUUUUUGGUUUCCCACCCGGGAGGCCGACUAAAUCCGGAUUUGUGUUGGGAAGUCCCACAUUGGUGGGGUAAAGCGCUCCCUAACAAUGGCGACUCCGAACCCAGGGGACUCGAAUCGGAGACCUCUGGUUAAGGAUGAAGGAGUACUUACCACUUCAGCAUAAUCCUUGUUGGUAAUAAUAUAAGAUUGCUGUCUCACAUCUGUCUGGCUUAUAAGCUUAGAUAAUAGUGCCUCAUUGGUGUGCAAAACCGUGAUACUAGUGACCGAACCUAAAAAAUUGUUCACAUGCUAAGGAUAGGAGUAGAUGGAGAAUUGUCCCAGCUUGUAUAUCGUGGACAAUUUGGAAGGAGAGGAAUUCCAGAUGUUUUGAGAGCAUAGAGAAUGAUGUGCAGAAGAUCAAGUUGAACUUCAUCUUAUUGCUAUGCAUGAUUGAAAAGAAACCAUAUAAGGGCCUUAUUAGAUCCUUGCAGCAAAUUGGUUGCACUCAUCUUUUGGAUGUGUACUGCCAAGGAUUGACCUCUCAAAAGGGAAGGUUUCAACAUGAUCCAGAGUUUACCGAGCUACAG
Molecule: long non-coding RNA, 1203 nt
Filed under: Solanum tuberosum (potato)
Lineage: Eukaryota; Viridiplantae; Streptophyta; Magnoliopsida; Solanales; Solanaceae
Description: long non-coding RNA (STUB_LNC004105)
Source: RNAcentral